UUUAAGUUCCUCCUUUAAGGAGACAAUGGAGAUGGAAAGUGAUUGCAGUGCUGCAACUGCUUCCAGUUCUAUGGAGUUGGUGAAUCUGGACCCCAUGCUUUGUACCUCUACAAACGUCUCUGAAACUCACCAACGUCUUGUAACAUCUCCUGAUGAAGAGGCAAUGGCAAUUGAUACGAUAAGCUCUUGUGCAAGUAAUCUAUCAAGUCGUAGAGCUUGCCAAUCUACAGGUGAUUCGAAACAGCUACAAAGUCGG
RNAcentral lists this unclassified non-coding RNA (256 nucleotides) under Hevea brasiliensis (rubber tree). The record is from RNAcentral. Lineage: Eukaryota; Viridiplantae; Streptophyta; Magnoliopsida; Malpighiales; Euphorbiaceae.